Oncorhynchus tshawytscha (Chinook salmon) is the source of this 615-nucleotide long non-coding RNA. NCBI's taxonomy places the organism in Eukaryota, Metazoa, Chordata, Actinopteri, Salmoniformes, Salmonidae. The record is from Ensembl.
AGUAGAUCCAGUAGGUCCAGCUAUAUAAUACUGUCUAGUAGAGCCAGCUAUAUAACACGGUCUAGUUGAUCCAGUAGAUCCAGCUAUAUAACACUGUCUGGUAGAUCCAGUAGAUCCAGCUAUAUAACACUGUCUAGUAGAUCCAGUAGGUCCAGCUAUAUAAUACUGUCUAGUAGAGCCAGCUAUAUAACACGGUCUAGUUGAUCCAGUAGAUCCAGCUAUAUAACACUGUCUAGUAGAUCCAGUAGGUCCAGCUAUAUAAUACUGUCUAGUAGAGCCAGCUAUAUAACACGGUCUAGUUGAUCCAGUAGAUCCAGCUAUAUAACACUGUCUGGUAGGUCCAGUAGAUCCAGCUAUAUAACCCUGUCUAGUAGAUCCAGCUAUAUCACACUGUCUAGUAGAUCCAGCUAUAUCACACUGUCUAGUAGAUCCAGCUAUAUAACACUGUCUAGUAGAUCCAGCUAUAUAACACUGUCUAGUAGAUCCAGCUAUAUCACACUGUCUAGUAGAUCCAGCUAUAUAACACUGUCUAGUAGAUCCAGUAGGUCCAGCUAUAUAACACUGUCUAGUAGAUCCAGUAGAUCCAGCUAUAUAACACUGUCUAGUAGAUCCAGC